CUUCCUGCACGCAUGCUCUGGCUCACCAAAGGGAGAUUCUGAAUUUUUUUUUUUAUCGUGCUCAUGAUCAUCACCAUGAUGCUUCUUAUCAUGGUUAUCAUUUCCUCCUGCCAGGGAGAGCGACCACCAGCGCCUUCUCUCCGCCCGCCCCUUCCCCAGCGAAGGCAGCCACUAGGGCCGGGCCCUGGCGGCCGCUCCCUACAUGCGGACAUCCUUCGCCUCUCCGCAACCCUCCUUCAUUCAUGUGCAUGUACAUUUUCUUGAUCCCUUUUUAUUCCAGUAGAUGUACUGCCUUUCGUUGGAACGCCGCGGACUGAGACCAGUCCCUCAAGAAGAAGAACAAAAAGACGAAGACCUGAGUGGACCCCCCCCACCCACCCCCGCCCCGGACAAAGCACUUUGGGCUCGGCGAGAAGGGACCCGCCGGAGCGCUGCCUCGGGAAUACGAGUGAUCUCCGGUCCGCCCGGCGUGCGGACCUCCGAGGGGAUUCGAAUUUUAUUUAGCCUCUUGGUAUGAUUGAACGGUGUCAUUGUUGGGGAGGGGUUCCAUUUGCUGGUUUGUCUGGGUAUGGGAGCGGAACUGUGGGAGAUCGGAUAGACUUAACUUGGCUUUCCUGCUCCCUGCCUCACCCUCUCGAGAUCUGGGCGUUGAAGAGGAGACUGUGGAACAGGAGGCUUAGCUGAGUCGAAGCCCGAAGAUGAUGCCGGAGGGCUGAGGGGAUAGUGUGAGUAGGGAUGGGCCAGGUGGAGGAGGGUUGCGAAAAGAAGGAGUCUGUUUGAACCCCUCUCUGGGUUCAUAGGAUGAGUUUUGCCGGAGAUGAGAAUACUGGUGUCUGUUGAUAGGAGAUCUGAGAAAUUGAUGGAAAAUUGGUAUGUCCAUGUACACACUUAAGGAGUGUUUACACACUUGUGUGUAAACAGAGUGGAGAGGUAGAGGAGGGUAUAGAGGGAAAGGCUGAAAAUAAUGUCUUAUUAUCCCUUUGGUUUUGGGGACUCUCAUCCUCUGAUCCUCUCCCCCCGCUCUUUUUUUGUGGACCCAGGGAUCCAGCGCAUUAGACAAGAGUGACCUUUUAUAUCUGUGCCCACCCUUCACCUGCGAGAGGACUGCAGCAACCGAGUUCUGGAAGGCUGAUUCCCCAGAUUCUGGCCCCGGACCCCGGCAGCUCGCCCCUGCGGCACGCCCGGCCGGGUUGCGCCUGGACUCAGCAAGCUAGGAAAAAGCCUGGAUCCGAAAGGAUGGGGGAGAACAAAGAGCCUUUGCAAGACGUCGCUGUUAUCUCAUUGUCUGUGUGACUGGGGGAGCUGCGGUAGAGAGGAUGCUGUGGUCCUUUCCUCCCGGCGCUCCCCCACCCCCACGCCUUUCCCCGCUGUCAGUGCGCACGCACACGCGCCUCUUUUUACUUGUUUUUCCCGUUUUCUCAUUCCACCUUCUCCCCACCCGCCCCCCUGCUUUCUUCCACCUUUCCUUCCUUCCUCCUCUCCUUCCUCAGGAGAAAGGCCUCUCUCUCCGUGUUCACAGCGGACCUUGAUUUAAAUGUCCAUACAAUUAAGGCACGCGGUGAAUGCCAAGAAUGGGGCUGGCUGAGCACCCGUCGGUCCGCGAGGGCCCUGCGAGGAAGGAUCCACAGAGCCCAGUCGUCCUCCGCAGAGCUCAGCGCCGCGGCUUCGGGAGAGGGUGGGGGUGGAUGGGGGGGGCGGGGGUCGCGGGCUCGCGCCGGCUGGGCUGCCCCAACCGAAGCCUUUGGGGUGGGGAGGUGUGUAGCUUGUGACAGACAGGGGCUUAGAGAUGCAAACAAACUCAGAGAAACAGAAGCUGAUUCUGUGACGGAAACACAGCUCUGUGCAAGCACAGAUGGGGCGGGAGGAUGCUGUGAGCGCAUUGCGGAGUGCUUCCUGUGCAGAUUUUUCUCUGGGCUCCGGGUGCAUUGUAUGAGCGUCGACACCUUCCUUCACGGCUGCGUUUUUGCUCUGGUUUUAGCUUUUGGUUUACCCUUUAAACAAAUGACCAGGCAUCCAGGAGACUGGCAGAUUGUGCCAGGGCUGGGGCUGCAGAUAUAUUGGGUUCUGCUUGCUCUUGGGGUGGGGGCAGGGGAGCCCGCUGGAAGGGAGUAGGGAAGGGACUUGUCCCCCUUUGCUGUGGAGCUGUAGUUACAAGCUUAAGGAAGUCAUUGAGAUACGGGGAGGGGGAGGGGGUGCGGGGGGGGGGGGGGGCAUCAAACUCCUGGAGAGCUGAAAGUCUAGCCAGGACUCUGGGGAGCCGCUCACUUCCUCUUUGCGGCUGUGAUUGCAGUUGUAGGCAGAGAUCCGGGAGAUGAUGAGGGGGAGAGCUGCAGGAACCUACCUGGACCCAAGGGUUGAGGAGGGGAGGGUUCAUGCCUUUUAAAAAUCUCAACAGAAGGAAAACCAGAAUGUGUACAGGAGGGGCCGUGAGGAAAGAUUAUUUUUGAAAGAGGCCAUUCAGGGAAUGCAAAGGGUUAACCUGCCCUCCUCCUGAAGAACCUGCUACCCAAAUCAGCCUCCUCUACAUCACCAGACCUAGAGCAGCAGCUGGUCCUACGGAUCCCCCUGCUCUCCACAGGCACAGCCCCAUCCCACUUCUAACUCUGUUUUAACCGCCUCCACCCCCACCUUGAGCUCCAGUGGAUGGUGGAGACCUAAACUCAUUAAUUUCCAGGUGGAGAAAAUGUAGGCGGGUCAGGUCCCUGCAGAGAAAGGAGGCCAAGAACUGGAUCUUCCUACCCAGGAAGGCUUCUAUGAUCAUCCCUUUCCCCCGCCCUGGGCAGGGACCUGUCUCUACAAGGCCAAGGCCAUAAGGGAUGCUGAGGAUUUUAUUUGAUUCCUGACACAGUAAGCAAAACCUAAGAGUCUCCGCUGAAACUUGCUGAGGAGCUCUUUCAUCGCCAAAGCCUCAGCCUAGCCCACUCAGUCAAUUAGUAUUCAUGGACCCCUAGCCUUAUUUCCUCCCGAAUAUUUUUUUAGUACCUACUAUGUGCCAAUCAGUGUGUAAUUGUUGUAUCUUAGAUUCUUCCUUUGCCCUCCUAAGGGAGUGUCUGGAGUCAGGUGAGAUUAAGUUCACUGCGCCCCAUCUAGACACUUCCAGAACCUUCUUUGGGUCCGUCAGAAAUGCACCAGAACCUGCUCACCCCUGCAGAGAGGAGACUGCAGUCCACAUCAUGCAAACUGCAAGCGCAAUGCUGUCCUUCAGAUCCCAGAAUGCCAGCCUGGCUGGAGGACAGAAGACAAAGCAGCUUCUCUGGCCCCUGAGCCUUAGCCAGUGUUGUCUUAAGAGGCGCCCGCAGCCACCGCCUUCAAAGUAGUCCUCCCUCUAAACAGUCCCUCUUUGGUUCUCCUCUCCCUCCUCUGAGGGCUGCUCUUACAGUUCUUUGGGGCUGAUCUUAAGCCUCUGAUGACCAACCCUCGACCCCACAGUUGUUCACAUAAAUGAGCUUUAUCUCCCUAAUUGCUUCCCUGUAAUUCCAUCAGAUGUGGCCGUGCCCUCUGCUGAUGUGCCUGCUGCCAGCAUCUCCAGACGCCUUUCCCGAGUAAUGUCCCUCUAAGGUGGAAACCUAACACGCUUCUCCCUGAGAGUUUAAACCGCAGGCACCAUGGACCAGGCUUCCGGCUUCCUGCUGCAGAUCAUUAGGAGGGAGGGGCAUGCUUUAUUUUAUUACUUAUGUAAACUCUUGUUCCAGAAAGCUCUUACGUGUGGGGAGUGUUCUGGGUUUGUUGGGGCUUUUCCGGUAUUCACCAGGUCUCAUUAUGAAAUGUGUUUGUAUGGAGGGGGCUUUAAUGGCUGAAAUGGCAGCGAUGAAUACACCGCUCUGCCCCCUGGGUAAUUUCAAGGCCCCUUUUGUGAGCACCAAAUAGAGGUGUGGGGUGAAGGUCAGUCCCGGCAUCUUCUUUCGGCUCUGUUAGAGGCUUGUUUAUGCCUAGCGAUACCUAGGUAAGAAACCUAACAAUUUCUGCUCUUUCAAAGCAUUUUUUUUUAAGUCUGUAUUUGUUACAAUACUGCUUUUGUUUUGUUGGGGUUUUUUGGCCGGGAGGCAUAUGGGAUCUUGGCUGCCCACUGGGGAUGGAACCUACACCCCCUGUAUUGGAAGGUAGAGUCUUCUUUUAACUCUCGACAUAUCUUCACCUCUACCCAUUUGAGCCCCUCUAAUUACAACCUAUGGCUUAAAUGAAGGAAAAACUAUUUUUUUUAAAAAAAUAUGGGACAUGUUUGAGGCAGUUUGCCGACUGAAUAUGCUCUGAAGACCCAUGCCAUCGUUCACACACACCACCAUUAUUAUGGUCCUCAACGUGAAAAGCAUCAUUAUGGUCCUCAUCGUGAUGGCCGCUCAUAGGUUUCUCAAGGAGUCAGUAUCAGAUACUUUAAGAUGGAUUUAGAAAUGUAUCAAAGGAAAAAUUGGUAACAUUCUUCUUUCCCCUGCCAGAGACCGCCCAGGCCCAGAACUCUAAGCAGAAAAGCAACUGAACUUUUAACAAAGGCAAAGGUAAAUUCCAACCAUCACCACUACUUUCCUGUUGCCCACAGGGUGGGGAAAGGGGACAGUUUUUGUGAGCUCUUGAGGAGCCUUAGCCAGAGAAAUAAAUAUUUGGGAGUAGGGGUAAUUUCUCAGCAGGCAUAUGCUCAUAUACACAUAAAUGGAGAUUUUUCUCACACAGUCAUAUCUAUUGCUGGUAUUUAUCGGAAAGUAUUGAAUCACACAAACACACACACACACAAUCCAUCCACCUAUCCUGUCUCUGGAGAGAAAUAAUUUUCUCUUUCCUUCUACUGAACUUACAUAAUAUCCCCACCCCUUGUUCCAACCUUAGACGUGAGUCCUCCGGGGGCAGCUGUAAAGCCUUCUUCCUAGGACAGAUGGAACCACCCUUCCUCAGCUACUCUGUGGGUGGGUUUAGUGAGUCAAUAGGGGCUGAGGGAUGUUCUGGUGGCUUGUGUUUGUGGCUUGCCUGGCUGAUUCACGGUGCUGAGUAUGUCAAUAACAAUUAUGACAGUUUUAAUACCUAAUAAAGAUGUUUUCUUCCAA
This is a long non-coding RNA of Bubalus bubalis (water buffalo), 5033 nucleotides long. RefSeq lists it as uncharacterized. The record is from RefSeq and is a predicted model, not a curated record. The transcript has 3 exons. Lineage: Eukaryota; Metazoa; Chordata; Mammalia; Artiodactyla; Bovidae.